UACGUAGGGUGCGAGCGUUGUCCGGAAUUAUUGGGCGUAAAGGGCUCGUAGGCGGUUUGUCGCGUCGGGAGUGAAAACACUGGGCUUAACCGAGUGCUUGCUUUCGAUACGGGCAGACUUGAGGCAUUCAGGGGAGAACGGAAUUCCUAGUGUAGCGGUGAAAUGCGCAGAUAUUAGGAGGAACACCGGUGGCGAAGGCGGUUCUCUGGGAAUGUUCUGACGCUGAGGAGCGAAAGUGUGGGGAGCGAACAGG
RNAcentral lists this ribosomal RNA (253 nucleotides) under uncultured bacterium. Its description in RNAcentral is "partial 16S ribosomal RNA". It matches the Rfam family "Bacterial small subunit ribosomal RNA", at positions 524 to 776 of the family's 1533-position model. The record is from RNAcentral.